UUUUGCAAUAUGUUCCUGAUAU
This 22-nucleotide microRNA is filed under the name Cavia porcellus (domestic guinea pig). RNAcentral's name for it is "cpo-miR-450b-5p". Its record names the gene cpo-miR-450b-5p. The record is from miRBase by way of RNAcentral. Lineage: Eukaryota; Metazoa; Chordata; Mammalia; Rodentia; Caviidae.